CUAGUGGCAAACGGGUGAGUAAUAUACAAGAAUCUGCUUAGUAGUGGGGGAUAACAUUUCUAACGAGAUGCUAAUACCGCAUAAGCCCGAGAGGGGAAAGAUUUAUCGCUAUUAAAUGAUUUUGUACCAGAUUAGCUUGUUGGGGAGGUAACGGCUCACCAAGGCGAUGAUCUGUAGCUGAUCUGAGAGGAUGAUCGGCCACACUGGGACUGAGAUACGGCCCAGACUCC
RNAcentral lists this ribosomal RNA (230 nucleotides) under uncultured bacterium. RNAcentral's name for it is "partial 16S ribosomal RNA". It matches the Rfam family "Bacterial small subunit ribosomal RNA", at positions 92 to 339 of the family's 1533-position model. The record is from RNAcentral.